GUGUGAGCUUCAGUAAUACAUAUACUAAAAUUGGAAUGAUACAGAGAUUAUCAUGGCCCCUGUAUAAGGAUGACAUGCAAAUUCAUGAAGCAUUUCAUAUUUUC
Molecule: non-coding RNA, 104 nt
Organism: Octopus bimaculoides (California two-spot octopus)
Lineage: Eukaryota; Metazoa; Mollusca; Cephalopoda; Octopoda; Octopodidae
Source: Rfam